UACAGAGGUCCCAAGCGUUGUUCGGAUUCAUUGGGCGUAAAGGGUGCGUAGGUGGUAGGCUAAGUCGGGCGUGAAAUCCCAGGGCUCAACCCUGGAACUGCGUUCGAUACUGGUUUGCUCGAGGACUGGAGAGGAGAUUGGAAUUUAUGGUGUAGCAGUGAAAUGCGUAGAUAUCAUAAGGAAGACCAGUGGCGAAGGCGGAUCUCUGGACAGUUCCUGACACUGAGGCACGAAGGCUAGGGUAGCGAACGGU
RNAcentral lists this ribosomal RNA (253 nucleotides) under uncultured bacterium. RNAcentral's name for it is "partial 16S ribosomal RNA". It matches the Rfam family "Bacterial small subunit ribosomal RNA", at positions 524 to 776 of the family's 1533-position model. The record is from RNAcentral.